This 426-nucleotide ribosomal RNA is filed under the name uncultured bacterium. RNAcentral describes it as "bacterial SSU rRNA". It matches the Rfam family "Bacterial small subunit ribosomal RNA", at positions 355 to 773 of the family's 1533-position model. The record is from RNAcentral.
UAGGGAAUCUUCGGCAAUGGACGAAAGUCUGACCGGGCAACGCCGCGUGAGUGAAGAAGGUUUUCGGAUCGUAAAACUCUGUUGUUAGAGAAGAACGUUGUGUAGAGUGGAAAAUUACACAAGUGACGGUAUCUAACCAGAAAGGGACGGCUAACUACGUGCCAGCAGCCGCGGUAAUACGUAGGUCCCGAGCGUUGUCCGGAUUUAUUGGGCGUAAAGCGCGCGCAGGGGGUUUAAUAAGUCUGAUGUAAAAGGCAGUGGCUCAACCAUUGUGUGCAUUGGAACCGGUUAGACUUGAGGUCAGUAGAGGAGAGUGGCAUUCCAUGUGUAGCGGUGAGAUGCGUAGAUAUAUGGAGGCACACCGGUGGCGAGAGCGGCUCUCUGGACUGUAACUGACACUGAGGCUCGAAAGCGUGGGUAGCAAAC